Molecule: ribosomal RNA, 779 nt
Filed under: uncultured Neocallimastigales
Lineage: Eukaryota; Fungi; Neocallimastigomycota; Neocallimastigomycetes; Neocallimastigales
Description: partial large subunit ribosomal RNA
Rfam family: Eukaryotic large subunit ribosomal RNA
Source: RNAcentral
UCAGACGAUGCGUCAUGCAUAUCAAUAAGCGGAGGAAAAGAAACUAACAAGGAUUCCCUUAGUAACGGCGAGUGAAGCGGGAAGAGCUCAAAUUUGAAAUCUUCAAGGUUUUACCUUGACGAAUUGUAGUUUAAAGAAGUGUUUUCUGUUGAAGUUUUGGUAAAAGUUCUUUGGAAUAGGACAUCAUAGAGGGUGAGAAUCCCGUAUUUGACCAUUAUUUUCAGCUGUGUGAUACACUUUCAAAGAGUCGGAUUGUUUGGGAAUGCAGUCCAAAAUGGGUGGUAAAUUUCAUCUAAAGCUAAAUAUUGGCGAGAGACCGAUAGCGAACAAGUACCGUGAGGGAAAGAUGAAAAGAACUUUGAAAAGAGAGUUAAACAGUACGUGAAAUUGUCAAAAGGGAAGCGUUUGACACCAGUGUUGUUUUCUCGAAAAUCAAUUAAAAAUGAGUUAGAUUUUGUAUGUGUAUUGACCUUAACAGCUUGCACUGUACAUUUUUCGUGUCCUUUUUUAAUGCACUUUUCGUUUAACAAGUCAACAUCAGUUUCUUUUGUUGUAAAAAGGUCAUUGGAAGGUGGCUUUCUUUUCGGAGAAGGUGUUUAUAGCCUUUGACUCCUGCAAUCGGAGAGACUGAGGUCUGCAGCGUAGAUCCUUCGGGGUUAGAUACAUUUGUGCUAAGUUAUAGCUUUUUAUAGACAACUUGUUGACUAUAAUUAGUCUUGUAGCUUACUCGCUUAUGCUAUUUUACCUACGCUUAGGAUGUUGAGUCGUAGAGCACGCAG